This is a ribosomal RNA of Gossypium raimondii (Peruvian cotton), 119 nucleotides long. Lineage: Eukaryota; Viridiplantae; Streptophyta; Magnoliopsida; Malvales; Malvaceae. The record is from Rfam.
AAGUGCGGUCAUACCAGCACUAAUGCAUCGGAUCCCAUCAGAACUCCUCAGGUAAGCGUGCUUGGAUAAGAGCUGUACUAGGAUGGGUGACCGCUUGGGAAGUCCUCGUGUUGCACCCC